AAUCGUACCCCAAACCGACACAGGUGGUCAGGUAGAGAAUACCAAGCGCUUGAGAGAACUCGGGUGAAGGAACUAGGCAAAAUGGUGCCGUAACUUCGGGAGAAGGCACGCUGGUGUGUAGGUGAAGUCCCUGCGGAUGGAGCUGAGACCAGUCGAAGAUACCAGCUGGCUGCAACUGUUUAUUAAAAACACAGCACUGUGCAAACACGAAAGUGGACGUAUACGGUGUGACGCCUGCCCG
This 241-nucleotide ribosomal RNA is filed under the name Klebsiella pneumoniae. RNAcentral's name for it is "partial 23S ribosomal RNA". It matches the Rfam family "Bacterial large subunit ribosomal RNA", at positions 1640 to 1865 of the family's 2925-position model. Lineage: Bacteria; Pseudomonadati; Pseudomonadota; Gammaproteobacteria; Enterobacterales; Enterobacteriaceae. The record is from RNAcentral.